This 479-nucleotide ribosomal RNA is filed under the name uncultured bacterium. RNAcentral describes it as "bacterial SSU rRNA". It matches the Rfam family "Bacterial small subunit ribosomal RNA", at positions 903 to 1397 of the family's 1533-position model. The record is from RNAcentral.
AAAUGAAUAGACGGGGGCCCGCACAAGCAGCGGAGCGUGUGGUUUAAUUCGAGGCUACACGAAGAACCUUACCUGGGUUUGACAUCACGGUGGUAGGGACCUGAAAGGGAACCGACCGCAAGGAGCCGUGACAGGUGCUGCAUGGCUGUCGUCAGCUCGUGUCGUGAGAUGUUCGGUUAAGUCCGAAAACGAGCGCAACCCUCGGGGGAAGUUACACGUGUCUGACCCGACUGCCUGCGAGAAGCAGGAGGAAGGUGGGGAUGACGUCAAGUCAGCAUGGCCUUUAUAUCCAGGGCUACACACACGCUACAAUGGGCGGUACAGUGGGAAGCGAAGCUGUGAGGCGGAGCGGAUCCAAAAAGCCGUUCGUAGUUCGGAUUGCAGGCUGCAACUCGCCUGCAUGAAGCUGGAGUUGCUAGUAACCGCAGGUCAGCGAUACUGCGGUGAAUACGUUCCCGGGCCUUGUACACACCGCCCGU